RNAcentral lists this ribosomal RNA (1361 nucleotides) under Bacillus sp. (in: firmicutes). Its description in RNAcentral is "bacterial SSU rRNA". It matches the Rfam family "Bacterial small subunit ribosomal RNA", at positions 11 to 1352 of the family's 1533-position model. Lineage: Bacteria; Bacillati; Bacillota; Bacilli; Caryophanales; Bacillaceae. The record is from RNAcentral.
GUUUGAUCAUGGCUCAGGACGAACGCCGGCGGCGUGCCUAAUACAUGCAAGUCGAGCGGACAGAAGGGAGCUUGCUCCCGGAUGUUAGCGGCGGACGGGUGAGUAACACGUGGGUAACCUGCCUGUAAGACUGGGAUAACUCCGGGAAACCGGAGCUAAUACCGGAUAGUUCCUUGAACCGCAUGGUUCAAGGAUGAAAGACGGUUUCGGCUGUCACUUACAGAUGGACCCGCGGCGCAUUAGCUAGUUGGUGAGGUAACGGCUCACCAAGGCGACGAUGCGUAGCCGACCUGAGAGGGUGAUCGGCCACACUGGGACUGAGACACGGCCCAGACUCCUACGGGAGGCAGCAGUAGGGAAUCUUCCGCAAUGGACGAAAGUCUGACGGAGCAACGCCGCGUGAGUGAUGAAGGUUUUCGGAUCGUAAAGCUCUGUUGUUAGGGAAGAACAAGUGCAAGAGUAACUGCUUGCACCUUGACGGUACCUAACCAGAAAGCCACGGCUAACUACGUGCCAGCAGCCGCGGUAAUACGUAGGUGGCAAGCGUUGUCCGGAAUUAUUGGGGCGUAAAGGGCUCGCAGGCGGUUUCUUAAGUCUGAUGUGAAAGCCCCCGGCUCAACCGGGGAGGGUCAUUGGAAACUGGGGAAACUUGAGUGCAGAAGAGGAGAGUGGAAUUCCACGUGUAGCGGUGAAAUGCGUAGAGAUGUGGAGGAACACCAGUGGCGAAGGCGACUCUCUGGUCUGUAACUGACGCUGAGGAGCGAAAGCGUGGGGAGCGAACAGGAUUAGAUACCCUGGUAGUCCACGCCGUAAACGAUGAGUGCUAAGUGUUAGGGGGUUUCCCGCCCCUUAGUGCUGCAGCUAACGCAUUAAGCACUCCGCCUGGGGAGUACGGUCGCAAGACUGAAACUCAAAGGAAUUGACGGGGGCCCGCACAAGCGGUGGAGCAUGUGGUUUAAUUCGAAGCAACGCGAAGAACCUUACCAGGUCUUGACAUCCUCUGACAACCCUAGAGAUAGGGCUUUCCCUUCGGGGACAGAGUGACAGGUGGUGCAUGGUUGUCGUCAGCUCGUGUCGUGAGAUGUUGGGUUAAGUCCCGCAACGAGCGCAACCCUUGAUCUUAGUUGCCAGCAUUCAGUUGGGCACUCUAAGGUGACUGCCGGUGACAAACCGGAGGAAGGUGGGGAUGACGUCAAAUCAUCAUGCCCCUUAUGACCUGGGGCUACACACGUGCUACAAUGGACAGAACAAAGGGCUGCGAGACCGCAAGGUUUAGCCAAUCCCACAAAUCUGUUCUCAGUUCGGAUCGCAGUCUGCAACUCGACUGCGUGAAGCUGGAAUCGCUAGUAAUCGCGGAUCAG